Non-coding RNA from Cinara cedri, 622 nucleotides. NCBI's taxonomy places the organism in Eukaryota, Metazoa, Arthropoda, Insecta, Hemiptera, Aphididae. The record is from the annotation of a GenBank genome assembly.
GUUUUUUCCUAAGCAUUGGUUUAUUGUUGCUUACAGGUAUAGUACGAUUGGUGAAAAAUAAAAUGGUUUUUUGAUUUUCUUUGUAGUUUUUUUUAAUAAUUGAGCAAAACCGACAAAAAUUCAGAAAGUACAGAACUAUGUAUGAAAAUAAUAAUUCUUUUAUUUUCAAUUUUGUUUUUUUAUAAUGUAAUUUAGUUUGGAGUAUUCAUAAAGACUUGAUAUUUUGACAGAAAACUUAUAUUUGUUUUUUCUAGACGUGGUAACAUUUUCAAAAUAUUUGAUUCAUUUUCCAGCUAAUUAUACACAUUUUAAUUUUGAAAAUUUUGUACAUAAUUUUCAUCCGGUACGUACUCUAUGGAUACAAUUGUUAGACUAAACAGAAAUGAUUGACAAUUUAACAUGAGGUUUAUUAAAAGUCGUAUUUUGUGUUUAAAAAAAAAAAAUUUAUACGAAAUGUAUUAUUAAAAUGGUAUCGCGUGAAUCAAUCAUUCAUUCUUAAAUAUUGCAAAAAGGUAAACGAAAUAUAUGUAAUACUUACGAUGACUGAUUUGUCGUAAUCACAUUAAGGAAUAAAUAAUCGUGGUCUGUGACGGAUUAGAUGCACAAUACGCAGUUUGAUAUA